This 24-nucleotide unclassified non-coding RNA is filed under the name Mus musculus (house mouse). RNAcentral's name for it is "oocyte_clustered_small_RNA4997". The record is from RNAcentral. Lineage: Eukaryota; Metazoa; Chordata; Mammalia; Rodentia; Muridae.
UAAAGUCUAGAAAGCCCAGGGUAG